GGACAGGCUCAGGACGAACGCUGGCGGCGUGCCUAAUACAUGCAAGUAGAACGCUGAAGAGAGGAGCUUGCUCUUCUUGGAUGAGUUGCGAACGGGUGAGUAACGCGUAUGUAUCCUGCUUUAUAGCGGGGGAUAACUAUUGGAAACGAUAGCUAAUACCGCAUAACAAUGGAUGACACAUGUCAUUUAUUUGAAAGGGGCAAUUGCUCCACUACAAGAUGGACCUGCGUUGUAUUAGCUAGUAGGUGAGGUAAUGGCUCACCUAGGCGACGAUACAUAGCCGACCUGAGAGGGUGAUCGGCCACACUGGGACUGAGACACGGCCCAGACUCCUACGGGAGGCAGCAGUAGGGAAUCUUCGGCAAUGGGGGCAACCCUGACGGAGCAACGCCGCGUGAGUGAAGAAGGUUUUCGGAUCGUAAAGCUCUGUUGUAAGUCAAGAACGGGUGUGAGAGUGGAAAGUUCACACUGUGACGGUAGCUUACCAGAAAGGGACGGCUAACUACGUGCCAGCAGCCGCGGUAAUACGUAGGUCCCGAGCGUUGUCCGGAUUUAUUGGGCGUAAAGCGAGCGCAGGCGGUUUGAUAAGUCUGAAGUUAAAGGCUGUGGCUCAACCAUAGUUCGUUUGGAAACUGUCAAACCUGAGUAGGAGC
RNAcentral lists this ribosomal RNA (653 nucleotides) under Streptococcus thermophilus. RNAcentral describes it as "bacterial SSU rRNA". It matches the Rfam family "Bacterial small subunit ribosomal RNA", at positions 16 to 653 of the family's 1533-position model. Lineage: Bacteria; Bacillati; Bacillota; Bacilli; Lactobacillales; Streptococcaceae. The record is from RNAcentral.